GACGAACGCUGGCGGCGUGCUUAACACAUGCAAGUCGAACGGAAAGGCCCUGCUUUUGUGGGGUGCUCGAGUGGCGAACGGGUGAGUAACACGUGAGUAACCUGCCCUUGACUUUGGGAUAAUUUCGGAAAACUGGGGCAAAUACCGGAUAGAACCUCCGCCGGAAGGUUGGGGGUGGGAAAUUUCGGCGGUUGGGGAUGGACUCCCGGCCUUUUAGCUUGUUGGUGGGGGAGUGGCUUACCAAGGCUUUGACGGGUAGCCGGCCUGAGAGGGUGACCGGCCACAUUGGGACUGAGAUACGGCCCAGACUCCUACGGGAGGCAGCAGUGGGGAAUAUUGCACAAUGGGCGGAAGCCUGAUGCAGCAACGCCGCGUGCGGGAUGACGGCCUUCGGGUUGUAAACCGCUUUCGCCUGUGACGAAGCGUGAGUGACGGUAAUGGGUAAAGAAGCACCGGCUAACUACGUG
Molecule: ribosomal RNA, 467 nt
Filed under: uncultured bacterium
Lineage: Bacteria
Description: partial 16S ribosomal RNA
Rfam family: Bacterial small subunit ribosomal RNA
Source: RNAcentral